Molecule: small RNA, 169 nt
Filed under: Streptomyces sp.
Lineage: Bacteria; Bacillati; Actinomycetota; Actinomycetes; Kitasatosporales; Streptomycetaceae
Description: c-di-AMP sequence
Rfam family: c-di-AMP riboswitch aptamer (ydaO/yuaA leader)
About the family: This family represents a conserved RNA structure found upstream of the ydaO and yuaA genes in Bacillus subtilis and related genes in other bacteria.
Source: RNAcentral
UCGCGUCACGCGCCGAAGGCAGGAGCGGGGGACCCAAGGUAGGUGCCGCACCGGGCAGUUGACCGGAGCGGCUUGGGGUUAAGCCGUGCCUCUCCCCAGGGGGGCGCGGCCGGGCACUCAACCGGCCCGAACCCGACAGCUCACCUCGCAGGCGUCGGUGAGGGGAUCA